This 2013-nucleotide long non-coding RNA is filed under the name Triticum aestivum (bread wheat). RNAcentral describes it as "long non-coding RNA (TAES_LNC026555)". Lineage: Eukaryota; Viridiplantae; Streptophyta; Magnoliopsida; Poales; Poaceae. The record is from RNAcentral.
CUUGAUGGAAAGAAAAUACGGGUGGAUUAUGCAAACAGCGAACAAUCUGCUGCUGCUGCUGCUGCAGAUGAGUAAGGUGCCUAUCUGGAAUCUGUAAUUGUUUCACUGUAAGGCACAUGUACUCUGUAUAUUUACGUAAUCACCAGUAUAUAUUUUAAGUUCAGUCCUAUGACCAACUUCAAAUAGACCGGCCGUCUGAUUUGUUUAGCUUUACAUUGCCUGUAGCAUUGUGAUUAUUGAUAACUUAAAAUACAGAAGAACGUCUGACAGCUAAUUCUCUUAUACUAAGUCACGGAAUUCAUUCAUCGACCUUAUUUUUUAUUUGAGGUCAACAUUAGCCAUGGUCUAGGAAACAAUUUAUGCCCGGCUUUUAAAAACUUGAGUAUGGCAUCAAGUCUCAGGAAAAGUAUUGGGUUAGAAAAUCAAUUUUAUUGCAUGUUACAGUGUCGGGUUUACAUGGGAAAUGAAGUGUUUGUUGUGCCCAGAAUCUGUAAUGUCGAUGGAGCCCUGGACAUGCAUGCACUCUGUACAUUUGAAUGAUCAUCGGUACUUAUUUUAUUUUCAUUCCCAUACCAGCUUUACGGGUAGACUAGUCCUCUGAUCGUUUAACUUGGCACUGGCUGUAGCAUUCUGCCUAUUGCUAACUGAAAAGAACAGAGCAACACCUAAUCGGUGGUGAAUUCUCUUUCACCAAGAGACAUAAUUAAUUCCAUUGCUUUUGUUUUAGGUCAACAUUAACGCUAGUUUUGGAAACAAUUCAUGCCCCUGAUCUUAAAACCUGAGAACUUGCUUUCGCUUCUGUUAUAAUGCAGAAAUAUCAUCCAGAAGUGUAUAAUGUUGCAGCAAAGCUUGGCAUAUCGUAACUAUCGGGUGUGGGAAGGAGUUUGUAAAUUGGAGAUAUUUUUUUGUGUGGCAAUUUUACUUAAAGGACACUUGUAAAUUUGAGCUUAGUUUGGUAAAUUUGACCAAAACAUGAGAGUUCCAUUUCUUCAAACGCACAUGAUUCAGCAUGAAGCAUCUCAUAUUUAGAUCAAUGAGCCAAACAUAUAACACAAGGGAACUGGAAAAGGAGUUCCUGAUUUAUCUGCACUACUUCUUUCAAAGCUUUAGAAUUUAUAUGAGCUGUAACUCAACGAGUGUAGGUAUAACACAGGACUAGUUCACACACCCAAGGAAAGGACAAGCCGCCAGACAGUCAUUUAUCAAGCUGCAUCCGAAUUUUCUAGGCCCUUUACAAUGUAAGUAGCAUAAGGAUUCCUGUAGAAUAAUGAUGCCAUAUCUGCACCACUGCAUAUACUUAGAAUCGUUGAGAACCAAAACUAUCAUGGAAUGCUGACGCCGAGUGCCCUCAUUAGUGGCACUUUUACUUUUGGCAGGCAGUCACCUCCUUAUGCUGAUUCUUGUCUGAUUUCCUCCAUUAAAGAAAAAAAAUCACUAAACCUGAGAUCGUAGCACUCUCCACAACACAUGCUAAUUGGUCAGAAUUCCGAAUUAAUUACUGCUUGCAAAGAGCUAGACUUAAAAGGUAGUAUCUAACUAUCUAUUUAAAUUUUUAUACCGUAGUUAUUUUUCCUCCAAAUGUCUGAAUCCAUAUCCGAAUUCAGAAGUCAUUCAGCCAAAAAAGAUGUACUCCCUCCGUCCUCAGAUAUGGGCAAUGAAAGCUGUAGCCCCUCAUAAUUUAUUCUGCGCGAAUGUUAUUAAGUGGAAUAAAGACGUUGACAAUAGGACACGAUGCUUGACUAAUCUCAGCUAUUCACUGAAAUGCAUGUAUGUUAUGUUAUACACCUCUUCCUGCUCAAAAUAACAUAGCCGCAGAACCUUUUCUUCAUUCUGAACAAACUGCAACUACACCUGAGUGGCUGAGUUGGAAGCUAACAUGAUCCAUCAAUUCUUCCCCGAUCAGGUCUUCUCCUAAGCAUGAGACCUUUAUCCGAGGGACACAUACUGGGCUCCAUUUGGCAUAAGCAUUGUUUCGCAAAGGGAACCAUGAACCAUCUGUAGUUGCCCCCAAAG